Molecule: ribosomal RNA, 447 nt
Filed under: uncultured bacterium
Lineage: Bacteria
Description: partial 16S ribosomal RNA
Rfam family: Bacterial small subunit ribosomal RNA
Source: RNAcentral
AACGAACGCUGGCGGCAGGCUUAACACAUGCAAGUCGAACGCCCCGCAAGGGGAGUGGCAGACGGGUGAGUAACGCGUGGGGAUCUACCCAGAUCUUCGGAACAACUGAGGGAAACUUCAGCUAAUACCGGAUACGCCCUACGGGGGAAAGAUUUAUCGGUUCUGGAUGAGCCCGCGUUGGAUUAGCUAGUUGGUGAGGUAAAGGCUCACCAAGGCGACGAUCCAUAGCUGGUCUGAGAGGAUGAUCAGCCACACUGGGACUGAGACACGGCCCAGACUCCUACGGGAGGCAGCGGUGGGGAAUAUUGGAGAAUGGGCGAAAGCCUGAUCCAGCCAUGCCGCGUGAGUGAUGAAGGCCUUAGGGUUGUAAAGCUCUUUCAGUGGGGAAGAUAAUGACGGUACCCACAGAAGAAGCCCCGGCUAACUUCGUGCCAGCCGCCGCGGUAA